Molecule: ribosomal RNA, 357 nt
Filed under: uncultured bacterium
Lineage: Bacteria
Description: bacterial SSU rRNA
Rfam family: Bacterial small subunit ribosomal RNA
Source: RNAcentral
GUGAGUAGUUCAGAGUUUGAUCCUGGCUCAGGACGAACGCUGGCGGCGUGCUUAACACAUGCAAGUCGAACGAUGAAAUUCUGACGGAGGCUUCGGCCAACUGAGGGAUGGAUUAGUGGCGGACGGGUGAGUAACGCGUGAGUAACCUGCCUUUCAGAGUGGAAUAACAUUUGGAAACGAAUGGUAAUACCGCAUAACGUCAUUGGGACCGCAUGAUCCUAUGACCAAAGGAGCGAUCCGCUGAAAGAUGGACUCGCGUCCGAUUAGCUAGUUGGAGAGGUAACGGCUCCCCAAGGCGACGAUCGGUAGCCGGACUGAGAGGUUGAACGGCCACAUUGGGACUGAGACACGGCCCAA